RNAcentral lists this long non-coding RNA (1410 nucleotides) under Bemisia tabaci. Its description in RNAcentral is "lncRNA ENSSSA1NGG004463". The record is from RNAcentral. Lineage: Eukaryota; Metazoa; Arthropoda; Insecta; Hemiptera; Aleyrodidae.
AUGGAGACGAAUAAGAAAUCAGAGGUUUGCAAUAAAGACCAAUUUCGGGUGAAGCCUGAGAGGUCCUCAGAACCAGAUCGGAAGGAAAACAAAGAGGAUGACUUCUUAAAAUCUGUUUUGCCCACAAUUGAAGAAAUUUCAAAUCUGAAGAAGAUGUUAGAAGAGUUUGAUACGGAUAAAAUGACGAAAAAAGAUAUCGAAAAACUUAAAAAGAAACUGAAAAAACAAAAAUUAGUCAGAGAUGUUGAAAAAGCAGAAAACGAUAAAAAGUCUGUGCCCUCAAAAUCACGGAGACGUAGAACUGUUUCGUCAGAAGGAUCCUCCGUAGAGCGAUCACCAUCUCCUCGCCAUAGGAGGUCAGAGGCAGAAAUAGAGUCGUCAAAAAAGCGCAGGUCAAAAAAGAGGGAAAAGUCUGUGUCCAAGAAGCAGGAAAAAUCUGUCUCCAAGAAGCGAGAAAAGUCUGUAUCGAAGGUGCGAGAAAAAUCUGUAUCCAAGGUUCGAGAGAAACCCAGGAGAUCAGUCUCACCUCUGCGCAAAAUGAAACUUAGAUCACCAUCUCCAGUCAGACAAAAACGCAAAUCGAGUCAUUCUGAGAAGUCUAGUUCCAGUAAAUCUAAAUCUAAAAUUCACGAUGAUGUGGGGCUGCGACAUCGUAAAAUGCGCAGCAGAUCUCGGUCGCGGGAGAAAGGUCGGAAAAGCGUGUCACUUUCCCCUGUACGAUCUCAGAAGCGCGUUCGCAGAAGUAGGUCCUUAUCUCUGUCCCUCUCUCCUCCAGGCAAACGGUAUCGAACAAAAUCAAGGUCGAGAUCUCCUAAGUUUUUCAGUCAUCACAGAUCGAGAUCGAGAUCUCGCUCCCCAGGUGACAAGUAUAGGAAAUCCAAGAGUUCUCGGACGGAUAGAGAUGAGUAUCUGAAGCAGAUGCUGAACAUGAGUCAAAGUAGUACAGUUUGUCCAGGUUGUAUUUCAGGUACCUGCGCAAUGAGCUCUAGUCAUUUAGCACCUGGUCCAGUCGCACCACCCAUGCAUCCCCCUCCUAUGUCGUAUGGCCCUCCUGGACCACCAAUGAUGUGCCCAGGACCACCUCGCCCCGGACCACCAUGUCAUGGACCGCACCCUGGACCACCACGCCCCGGACCACCAAUGUAUGGCCGUUUCCCUCCCCCCGGUCCCAUGCGAGGUCCUCCCUUAAUGAGAGGGCCACACCCCAGAUUUCCUCCUCGAGGUCCAUUGCCGCCUGGAGUUGCUCCCUUCCAAAGACCUCCAAGAGGUCCACCACGACCUGGAUUUAGACCUGGAUUCCGACCCAGAGGCCCCCCUCCUCCUGGAGCAUACUACCCUCCCCCGGCCCCCGGUCAGUUUCCAGCCCAACCAGAUCCAAAUUACUCUGGUCCUCCGAACUAUUGGGCUUAA